GACGAACGCUGGCGGCGUGCUUAACACAUGCAAGUCGAACGGAAAGGCUCCAGCUUGCUGGUGUCCUCGAGUGGCGAACGGGUGAGUAACACGUGGGUAAUCUGCCCUGCACUCUGGGAUAAGCCUGGGAAACUGGGUCUAAUCCUGGAUAUGACCUUUCUCCUUAUGGGGUGUGGGGGAACGUUUUUCGGUGUAGGAUGAGCCCGCGGCCUAUCGGCUUGUUGGUGGGGUGAUGGCCUAGCACGGCGACGACGGGUUGCCGGCCUGAGAGGGUGAUCGGCCACAUUGGGACUGAGAUACGGCCCAGACUCCUACGGGAGGCAGCAGUGGGGAAUAUUGCACAAUGGGCGGAAGCCUGAUGCAGCGACGCCGCGUGAGGGAUGACGGCCUUCGGGUUGUAAACCGCUUUCAGCAGGGACGAAGCGUAAGUGACGGUACCUGCAGAAGAAGCACCGGCUAACUAUGUG
Molecule: ribosomal RNA, 467 nt
Filed under: uncultured bacterium
Lineage: Bacteria
Description: partial 16S ribosomal RNA
Rfam family: Bacterial small subunit ribosomal RNA
Source: RNAcentral